GACGAACGCUGGCGGCGUGCUUAACACAUGCAAGUCGAACGGAAAGGCCCGGCUUUUGUGGGGUGCUCGAGUGGCGAACGGGUGAGUAACACGUGAGUAACCUGCCCUUGACUGUGGGAUAACUUCAGGAAACUGGGGCUAAUACCGGAUAGGAGCUCCUGCUGCAUGGUGGGGGUUGGUAAGUUUCGGCGGUUGGGGAUGGACUCGCGUCUUAUCAGCUUGUUGGUGGGGUAGUGGCUUACCAAGGCUUGGACGGGUAGCAGGCCUGAGAGGGUGACCGGCCACAUUGGGACUGAGAUACGGCACAGACUACUAUGCGAGGCAGCAGAGGGGAAUAUUGCACAAUGGGAGGAAGCCUGAUGCAGCAACGCAGCGUGCGGGAUGACGGCAUUCGGGUUGUAAACCGCUUUCGCCUGUGACGAAGCGUGAGUGACGGUAAUGGGUAAAGAAGCACCGGCUAACUACGUG
RNAcentral lists this ribosomal RNA (468 nucleotides) under uncultured bacterium. RNAcentral describes it as "partial 16S ribosomal RNA". It matches the Rfam family "Bacterial small subunit ribosomal RNA", at positions 28 to 507 of the family's 1533-position model. The record is from RNAcentral.